This 5594-nucleotide long non-coding RNA is filed under the name Eucalyptus grandis. Its description in RNAcentral is "long non-coding RNA (EGRA_LNC007080)". Lineage: Eukaryota; Viridiplantae; Streptophyta; Magnoliopsida; Myrtales; Myrtaceae. The record is from RNAcentral.
ACAUCCAAGACCCUGGAAAACCACUUUUACGCCAACAUUAUAGCCAAGACCCACACUAAUGGUCAGAGUGCCAUUGUUAUAGUCAAUCAUGGUGGUGGCUACCGGCUCUUCAUUCACAUAAUCUCCACUGAUGCACUUAACUUGAUGAUUGAUCCGGGAACACCCAGUGGCGAAAAACAGAACCAAAUGACUGUCGUGUUCCAAGGAAAUGCUUCUUGUGCCAUUCGAUUGAACCACAGGAUAAUCAAUUCUUUGAUAGCCGGGACUCACAACAACCACCCUCGGGAAAAUCUCAUCGCUUCGGGAGUUUUUGACAACCAAAGUGACAUUAUAAGCUGAAGCCUGGCCCAGAUCUGCAAAAGUAAAGCUUCGAUUACUUGACAAGUGCAAAUACACAUACUCUUUUUAUUACAAGAGGUCACAAAAACAAUUUAAAACUGAUUCAACCCUAAUCGCCAUCUUAGGUACUAACACUAUGGAAUGUUUCUGAAUUGCCAAUACUAGAUGAUUUCAAAUCCAAGCCAAAUGGGCAACAGCGAAGCUAAUAAAAAAAGGAGAAGAACAAUCAAAAAGUACAGUUGCAGCAAAAUAUCGCCUUCUUCAAUAGUUGUGAUAACUCCCCCAUAAUCCAUGAGAAAGAUCUAUGAUAGGAGAGAGGAGAGAUAUGGCUAGGGUUAAGGUACUAACGCUAUGGAAUGAUUUUCUGAAUUGCCAAUACCAGAUGAUUUCAAACCCAAGCCAAAUGGGCAACAGCAAAGCUAAUAAAAAACGGAGAAGAACAAUCAAAAGUACAGUUGCAGCAAAAUAUCGCCUUCUUCAAUAGUUGUGAUAACUCCCCCAUAAUCCAUGAGAAAGAUCUAUGAUAGGAGAGAUAUGGCUAGGGUUAAGGUACUAACGCUAUGGAAUGAUUUUCUGAAUUGCCAAUACCAGAUGAUUUCAAACCCAAGCCAAAUGGGCAACAGCAAAGCUAAUAAAAAAACGGAGAAGAACAAUCAAAAGUACAGUUGCAGCAAAAUUCGCCUUCUUCAAUAGUUGUGAUAACUCCCCCAUAAUCCAUGAGAAAGAUCUAUGAUAGGAGAUAGGAGAGAUAUGGCUAGGGUUAAGGUACUAACGCUAUGGAAUGAUUUUCUGAAUUGCCAAUACCAGAUGAUUUCAAACCCAAGCCAAAUGGGCAACAGCAAAGCUAAUAAAAAACGGAGAAGGACAAUCAAAAGUACAGUUGCAGCAAAAUAUCCUUCUUCAAUAGUUGUGAUAACUCCCCCAUGAUCCAUGAGAAAGAUCUAUGAUAGGAAAGAGGAGAGAUAUGGCUAGGGUUAAGGUACUAACGCUAUGGAAUGAUUUUCUGAAUUGCCAAUACCAGAUGAUUUCAAACCCAAGCCAAAUGGGCAACAGCAAAGCUAAUAAAAAACGGAGAAGAAAAAUCAAAAGUACAGUUGCAGCAAAAUAUCGCCUUCUUCAAUAGUUGUGAUAACUCCCCCAUAAUCCAUGAGAAAGAUCUAUGAGAGGAGAGAUAUGGCUAGGGUUAAGGUACUAACGCUAUGGAAUGAUUUUCUGAAUUGCCAAUACCAGAUGAUUUCAAACCCAAGCCAAAUGGGCAACGGCAAAGCUAAUAAAAAACGGAGAAGAACAAUCAAAAGUACAGUUGCAGCAAAAUAUCGCCUUCUUCAAUACUCCCCCAUAAUCCAUGAGAAAGAUUUAUGAUAGGAGAGAUAUGGCUAGGGUUUUUACAUGAAGGGAGGGGAAUGCGGCUUUCACAAAACCCUAGCCAUACAAACACUAAUCCAGUUUUACUAAUAUCGCAGAACGAUCUCAUGAAUUACCAAAACCAUGAUGAUCGCCGAGGCGCAACAACAAGCAUCGCAGAGGAAGCUCUACGGUUUCGACCGACCGUCACCGGUAGCAACACACGAUCCAAUCAACAGCAAAGAUGAAUUCAAGAAGGAUAAGAAGGACUCACGAAGGGCUAGUAGUAGCAGAGCAAGCAUCACCGUCGUCAGCGGCCGCGGCCCCAUUCUCAUCGGCCGAAGGAUUGAAGGAGUCGAGGAAUCGCGAAUCGGUCUCUGGGGUUUCGGAGGAGAAAUGUCGAUAGCUUGCAUCGUAAGCGAGAACCCAGAUUUUCUUUGUUUAUAUUUUGGGAAAAUAUGAUCCUGAACUUUUCAAUUUCAUCCUAAGUUUUCGAUUUGCUCAAUUUAGUCCUGAACUACCACCUAAUGUACAAUCUCCUCCCUAGACUUUUAAUUUGUUCAAUUUUGUCCCUAAUUAUCGAUAAAUAUCGGAUCUAGCUAUUUGAAAAUUGACCAAUUUCAUCCCGAAUUUUUGAUUUGCUUAAUUUAGUCAUGAGAAGAGAGGAUCGUGGGAAAAUGGAGUUACCUAGUUACAUUGUUCCUUAAAACGUCCAUCAAACACCCGGGACUGAAGUGUCGAGAUGUUCCCAAGCGAUGCUGUUAGCCCUGUCUAAAUCCGGUUGUCAAACCUGCAAGAGAAAGCGCGACAAUCGAUGAAUCCACCACCAUGCAACCAGGAACGCAAAAUAGCCUUUGUCCGAAGGACACAAGCAAUGCUGUCUUGUAUCAAUAUGACCAAAUAUAUAGCUAUAUACAAAAUGACUAGGGUAAUCAGAAAUCGGGAUGUUUUACAAAAUCGCCAAUAAAGUUAUAUAUAAUUUUAAAGCUUUAAAUAUUAAGCAAUUACUGCUAUGCAAAUUAUCAUUUUACGAAUAUUUGGCCCUAAGAAGGCCCUUGCCUUACAAAAAUCUGUUAAAAUCCCUAAAUUUCCUUCAAUUUCACACUAAAAUUUUGAUAGAUUUGUCAUUGGUGUACCCAUUUAGAUUUUUUCUAACACAAAAAUUAAUUGAGAAUAAAUGUGACAUAGAUACAUAGUGGUAUGAACCCUGGAUCUGAAGAAAAUGAACCAAGAUUGGAAAAUUUACUAAAAUUGGCUUUGGAGCAAAUUGGCUUUGAUGAUAUUAACUGAAAGAUACAAGGUGAGACGCACCUAUGGAGAAUUGAACCCACAACCUCUAACAUAAUUCCCAAGUAUUCCAAACUUAUCUACAAUUUGUUAAUUUUCGUCUAAUACCCCUGAUCCGUUGCUAACACAGAAACACACAAGGCAAACUACAAGAAUGACCAACGUGUGAUGUGCGUCCAACCUAAAAUUCAAUACAAAUAAUUCUCCUAAACGAAGUCGUUUUGAAGAAGCCAAGUCGAAACCGGAAGAUAUGCUAAUUUUGCCAGGGAGAAUUACUAAAAAAGUCCUAAACCUAUCACAAUUGUGCCAAUUCAGUUCUAAACUUUUUUUUUUUUUACCAAUUUAGUCAUAAACCUUUUUUACAACCGGUUGGCAUUGACGUGGACGCCGGCCAGGGAUAGCUGGCCGAUGAACGCUGAUGCGGGCGAGGCUCACCUUCACCAGUGGCCGGCGAGGGCAAGCCUCACCAAUGGAAGGAGAAGAUGGGAAAAAAAAAAUCAAAAUUUUUUUUUUAAAAAUAUAUAUAUAUUUAAAAAUGCCACAUCAGCAUUCGCUGACAAGCUAUCACCGGCCGGCAUCCACAUCAGCGCCAACCGGUCAAUUUUGGCCGGAUGGACUGAAUUAGCAUAAUUGUAAGAGAAGCACUAAAUUGGCCAAAAAAAAAAAUUAUGACUAAAUUAACACAAUGGAUAAACUGAAUUAGCAUAAUUGUAAAAGAUUUAGCACUAAAUUGGCCAAAAAAAAAGUUAGGACUGAAUUAACACAAUUGUAAUAGAUUUAGGACUUUUUUGGUAAUUCUCCCAAUUUUGCCCUAAAAGGGCCCUUGAGUUUCAAAAAUCUGUGAAAAUCCCUAACUUUUCCUCAAAAUUUUGGACUAAGAUUUUGGUAGAUUUGUCACACGUGCAACCAUUUAAAUUUGUUGCGACACGAAAAUUAAUUGAGCAUAAGUGCAACACGGAUACAUAGUGGUAUUAACCUCGGAUCUGAAGAAAAUAAACUAAGAUUGGAAAAUUUGCUAAAAUCAGCUUUGGAGCAAAUUGGCUUUGGUGAUAUUAACUGAAAAAUACAGGGCGAGAUGCGCCUAAGGAGAACGGAACCCGCGACCUCUAACAUAAAGUUAGCACACAAGACGCUCGGCCGAUAAAGACUUGCUAUUCUCUUAUCUUCACCAGCAUGGCGGAGGUGCUGGUACUCGGCCUCACGUCGCCGUUUUCGGUGGGGGGCUGGAAUCUGCUGCUGCUGCCGCUAGCUCUUCCUCCACCUACGGUAUUUCCUUCCAUUCCUAUCUCAAAAUCUCUGAUUCGACGUGCUGUUUUCUACACGAUUUCGCGGCGGAGGAGAGAUGUUAAGCAUGAAAGAUGUAAAGAAGCGUUUACCUGGGCUUUAGGGAGACAAGAAGCUGGAUGGCUGGGCAGGACCAUGUGCCCGAGGCUCUCCAUGCCCUCCAUAGUCUGAACGAGCUCUUGAAGGCACCAAUUCGCUCAAACCGUGUUUUCCGAUAUGGAACCGGGAUUGAGAUCUUGCCAUUCCUAAUGGCCCAGAGAAGGUCGGUGCCGAUCUUCUCACCGUCAUCUCUGAACACAGCAUUGUGGAGGCGAUCUGUCACGGUUUUUGUGAGUAUCGUUGCCACCGAAGCCCAAGAACACACGCCGUAGUUGCUGAUCCUAUGCUUUUCCAACGAUUGCUCCUUCUGUUGAUCUGGACAAAACUUGUAUGAACGAGUCUUUCGGUCAUAAUGAAUCGGGUUGCCUUAGGAAGAUGACCGUGUGGAGGGGGCAGCCUUGAGCAAUUUCCUUCAGGAUGUACAUCGCGUGAAACGUCCAACUAAAUAGAAAUUCGCUGGCAGCCUAGCGAACCCACCAUUCCCUUUCUUUUUGUAAAGAGAAAGAAAAAGCACAGACGACAAAUGAUUCUUCUUUUCUUUAACUUGACGCAAUGAACAAACAGCUUUUGUCUCGGGGAAGCUUUGUUGCGUCUUCCGAACACCAUGCGCCAAGCCACGUUCUGGUGAAGUAGGCGAACGGGCGAGCGAAUGAUGCUUUUGCCAUCUUCCGAUGCACGAUUUCAAAGAAUAAUUCGAGAGAUUCUCCCGCGGUGGCGAUGCCUCAGAAUCUCAGAUGCCUCCGUGUGCUCCACGGCAAACCUUGGCAACGGCGUUAUAUUCGUCUUCCUGGAAAGUACCAUCUGGAGCAGUCACUGCUUUCCAGGACGUAUGGGAUGUCCCGUUCUGGUUGAGUUAGUCACAAAAAAAGUCCCGUUCUGGUCACCUAACUUUAUAGCUUUAUGGAUGGCGGACCGUGGUGGGACUUGCACGAGCACCCGUGGUUGUCCCCUCUCUUCAGGUUCUUGCCACAUCUUCUCAGACCCCGACAUUUGUCCCUGGUUAAAAUGCAGCUGAUGACGAGUGAUCACAUCCAAGACCCGGAAAAUCACUUUACAACGACAUAUAGCCAAGACCCACACUAAUGUCAGAGUGCCAUUGUUAUAGUCAAUCAUGGUGGUGGCUACCGGCUCUUCAUUCACACAAUCAUCUUGAGGACAAUCUCCACUGAUGCACUUAACUUGAUGAUUGAUCCGGGAACACCCAGUGGCGAAAAACAGAACCGAAUGACUGUCGUGUUCCA